GCCGAAGUGGCGGAAUGGCAGACGCGACGGUCUCAAAAACCGUUGGAGGUGACUCCGUGUGGGUUCGACUCCCACCUUCGGCA
This 83-nucleotide transfer RNA is filed under the name Roseiflexus castenholzii DSM 13941. It matches the Rfam family "tRNA". From Rfam's summary of the family: Transfer RNA (tRNA) molecules are approximately 80 nucleotides in length. Their secondary structure includes four short double-helical elements and three loops (D, anti-codon, and T loops). Lineage: Bacteria; Bacillati; Chloroflexota; Chloroflexia; Chloroflexales; Roseiflexaceae. The record is from Rfam by way of RNAcentral.